GAGUUUGAUCCUGGCUCAGGAUGAACGCUAGCGGCAGGCUUAAUACAUGCAAGUCGUGGGGCAGCGCAGGUAGCAAUACUGGGCGGCGACCGGCAAACGGGUGCGGAACACGUACACAACCUUCCGAGAAGUGGGGAAUAGCCCAGAGAAAUUUGGAUUAAUACCCCGUAACAUAACGAUGUGGCAUCACAUUGUUAUUAUAGCUUCGGCGCUUCUUGAUGGGUGUGCGGCUGAUUAGAUAGUUGGCGGGGUAACGGCCCACCAAGUCUGCGAUCAGUAGCUGAUGUGAGAGCAUGAUCAGCCACACGGGCACUGAGACACGGGCCCGACUCCUACGGGAGGCAGCAGUAAGGAAUAUUGGUCAAUGGACGCAAGUCUGAACCAGCCAUGCCGCGUGAAGGAUUAAGGUCCUCUGGAUUGUAAACUUCUUUUAUCUGGGACGAAAAAAGGCGAUUCUUCGUCACUUGACGGUACCAGAUGAAUAAGCACCCGGCUAACUCCGUGCCAAGCAGCCGCGGUAUUACGGAGGGUGCAAGCGUAAUCCGGAUCACUGGGUUAAAGGNUGCGUAGGCGGCCAGGUACGUUCAGUGUGAA
RNAcentral lists this ribosomal RNA (594 nucleotides) under uncultured bacterium. RNAcentral describes it as "bacterial SSU rRNA". It matches the Rfam family "Bacterial small subunit ribosomal RNA", at positions 9 to 598 of the family's 1533-position model. The record is from RNAcentral.